Molecule: long non-coding RNA, 993 nt
Organism: Chenopodium quinoa (quinoa)
Lineage: Eukaryota; Viridiplantae; Streptophyta; Magnoliopsida; Caryophyllales; Amaranthaceae
Exons: 4
Source: RefSeq, a predicted model, not a curated record
CUUGUAUAAUAGGAACUAGGAACUAAUUAGGUCGUUGGAUCUAAUUUAGAUGCACGCUUGAUGAGCGGCCCAAAUUAAUUCACAAUCAAGGCACUUUCUCUACUCCAUUGAAGCAAAUUUCGAGCUUUCUCCAUUGAAGCGAAUUUCGAGCUUUCUCUACUCCAUUGGAGCGGAUUUCGAGCUUUCUGUACUCCAUUGAAGCAACUUCUGAGGCAAGAGUAAAUAUUUUCCCUCUGUGAGCUUGUUUUGGUGGCUUGUUUAAAGGAUUGCCUAAGCCGGGUGGCAGAGUGACUAUCAGGGGAUGAGAUUUCAAUGUUUGCAAACUUAUGUUGGUCCUCUUGGACUAGCAGGAAUAACAUCAUUCAUGAGCCGUCAACACACAAUCCUAUAAUGCUAGCUACAGGUUUCACUAGGCUUGGAAGUAUCUCUGGACUUCUCCUAUGUAAGAAAGAUGUGGCUACUGAAGUUACAAUCCGGAGAGCUAUGGGCAUAAUUAGUGAGCAUGAGAAAGCUAUUAUUCAACAUGAUCGCAUGUUUCAUAUAGCUGCUAUACAGUGAUGGAAACCUCCUGAAAUUGGGGUGUUCAAGUUGAAUACCGAUGCAGCCUGCUUUAAGGAUAUUUCAUUUGGUCUGGGGGUGUUAUUCGUGACACUACAAGUGAUGUUCUGCUGGCUACUUGUUGCAGGUUGCAGGGCAAAUUUGCAAUUGAUGUUAGUGAGGCGCUGGCUGCUAGGAAUGCUUUGCAAAUCACAAUUGAAGCAGGUCUCAAUAGAAUUAUAUUGGAGACGGACAAUGCUAAACUAUACCAUCAUCUUAAGAGCAACAAACGAGAGAAAUGAGGUUGCUCACAUAUUAACACAUUUGAGUAAAUGUUAUGUUGAUCGUAGAGUGUGGAUCGUAGAGGUGCCCGAUGGUUUAUCGGAUGUAGUGGUUCUUGACAUUUUAAGUCUUCCUUAAUAAAUUUGCUUGUUUGAUUUGUGUCCAAAAAAAAAA